Molecule: non-coding RNA, 852 nt
Organism: Jatropha curcas
Lineage: Eukaryota; Viridiplantae; Streptophyta; Magnoliopsida; Malpighiales; Euphorbiaceae
Source: RefSeq, a predicted model, not a curated record
AACACAUAAAAAAGAUUUCUAAAAAAAUCAAAAAGGCUUUCAGAGGAUAUCCAUGGCAUAAUCCUCAAGCAUAUGGCAUUUCUUCUGUAGUUUAUUCCAUCAAACUUAAAGCUCCUUAGUUUAUAUAACAGCAAAAUCCAUCAGCUGCAUGUAGCAAAAUGACGAGAUAGUUCAAUAAGCAAAUCAGUUAUAGGGCGCCUCUCGCUUGGCAGGUACGUGCAUUAACUUAAUCUCAUUAAUAACCUGCCAAAGGAGAGUUGCCCUGUGACUGCUUCAGCUUAAUUCAGAUAAGUUGUCAGCUAUCAACAGUACUACAAGUGAAGGUAAUUAAGCUGCAAGUUUGCUAAGUAUUUCAAUUUGCUGCCUGGAUAUUGCGACUCUGCCAACGGCCGCUGAGGCAAAUUUGAUAGCAUCAGCUGGCCAAUUGUUUUUUUCUUUAUUUAUUCAGACCAAAGACUAUUUCUUUAAAUUAAUAUCAACUCGAUCGGCGACGAAAGGCUCCCAGGGAGCCAAGCGGAUUGGACAGAUGAGGCCAAGUGAUAGAUACAGACAGCUUGUUUGCUUGCAGUUGGAAGGAGAACGACAAAGUCCAUAUUUUACUUCCAUUUUAAUUUAGAAUUAAGUAAUGGGAAGCGUUAUUUUUUAAUGUAAAAUAUUUACUUAUUGUAUAUUUGAGACAAUUUCUAUAUCAUUGAAACCGCGCUCCAAGUGGGAAUUCUAAACUGAAUUCAAUCAGGAACUCGCUUUCUUUCUUUUCUUUCUUUUUUUUUUCCCCUUUUUUCAGCAGAAUUCAAAUGUAAAAAGAAUGGAAAAGUGAUGAUCAUAAUUCAAUACUAAAUGUCUCCUUGAUGA